CUAGGUGACCGUGCUUGAGCAGGGGGGUGUGGACUAGAUGAUCUCCAGAGGUCCCUUCCAACCUUGGUCAUUCUGUGAUUCUGUGAAAUUUCAUUGCUACUUGACACUACUCUUAAGUUGGGACCUAUCCUGAUUGUCAAACCAAUGAAAGAGACCUGUAUUUCUUCUUAAAGAAAUAAUUGAGUAAUAUUUUGCUAAUCUGACUAAUGUAACUCAAAAGAUUAUAUUUUGUGUCUAUAAUAUAGUCAAUGCCAGUGUUUUAGAGCUCUGAGUAAUACAUAAUUAGUGCUUGUUACUUUUUUAGGCUCUAAGUUUGUAAUAUUAUGGUUUUUGGCAAAGGAGUCUUCACACCUGUGCUGUUUGCAUUGAAAUUCUGGAUAACAUUAGCGUAACUGCUCUGUUCCCCCUACAGAAACUUCAGGAAAAGAAAAGAACCAAUGGACGGACUUUUAAAAGUAUCUUUAAACUUCAGUAUCAAGGAAACUGAAACUGACCCAGGUAGCACUAAAGCCGUCAGACGUACUAGAGGCCAAGCUGACAAGGCUGGACUCAGGAAAAGGACAGUGCUUCAAAGUGUAAAGGUGACAUCAAAGGGACUCGGCAAGACACAAAAAAGCCCGACCUAUUCAACAGCAGGUUUUGCAUCUACUGAUCCCAGAGAGCAACUGAAUUUAUUCCUUCCUACCCACUGCUGCAGAAGCAAAACUUCAGUUUUUCUAAACUGAUGCCCGUGUCUACUCCAGCUCAGUUCUAGGAACAAGUUACUGUAUUUUUUUCUACUAGGAAAUCCAACCUAAAGGUAUGACUCUUAAGUAGUCUGUCACCCAGAACUUCUAUGUCAUACAGUGCUAUCUACAUUCCAUAUAGUGAAAAUAUCCCACAUCCACACCCCAAAUAGAUCCAUAAAUUCUUUAAAACCUUAUUUCACAUUAACAUACGCACACAAAAUAUGGGCCUUACUAUGUUCUGGACCAUCAGACUUUGUGAAUGAGUCAUGCAGAAUCCCCUCCUAGAACUGCAGGACCGCCACUAAAGGUGUGCAUGAGGAAUGUCUCAACAGGCACUGAAACUCUCCAUUGAUUUUGGUGGGUAUCUGCUCUGCUUCCCCAGCCCGACUUCCCCUUUGAAAGAAUAAUUAAACAGCCUACACUGAUUAUCAUGUAAGUGAUUAUUGUUUAAAAGGGAUUUAAAUUAUAUAGCGGUAAAGAAGAACUAGUUAGAUGGAAUCUACUACCAGUGUUUUGAAAACAUUGCUUUAGGUAGCAAGUUCUUAAGGAGUAAUUUGUCCCAGAUCUGGACUUAUUUCCUCAAUUUGACAUGUACUCUCUUUUGAGGGAUGGGGAAAUCAACCCAACAUCUGUAUUUAUAAGAAUCUCUUCUAAAUUUCUUGUCUGUUUGCUUCAUAUAUUUCUGAAUUCUGUUGUUUUGUUAAAGCAGUAGUUUAUGAGUGCAUGCAGAAAUAUCUGGGCAGGGGAAGGGAGUAAAAAGUAGCCAUCAUAAAGAAUAAUCAUGUGGAGUACAAACAAGGCACUGAAUGACUUUGCUGCUUAUUUUUUGUGUUGGUAGGAUUUGCAGUCUAAAAAGCUUUCACAGAAUCACAGAAUGACCAAGGUUGGAAGGGACCUCUGGAGAUCAUCUAGUCCACACCCCCCUGCUCAAGCACAGUCACCUAGGGCAUAUUUCCCAGCAUAUUUCACGCGUCCAGACGGGUUUUGAAUAUCUCCAGGGAAGGAGACUCCACUACCUCU
Molecule: long non-coding RNA, 1748 nt
Organism: Struthio camelus australis
Lineage: Eukaryota; Metazoa; Chordata; Aves; Struthioniformes; Struthionidae
Source: Ensembl